UUGAUCCUGGCUCAGGAUGAACGUUAGUAGUAUGCUUAACACAUGCAAGUCUAGCGAAAAGUGAUAGCAAUAUCAUUUUUAGCGGCGAACGGGUGAGUAAUGCUUAUCUUAUCUACCAUUUAGAGAGGGAUAGUCAAGGGCAACUUUGGUAAUACCUCAUACUCUGGUUUGCCAGGAAAGGGAACCGCAAGGAUCUCGCUAAAUGAUGGGGAUAAGUCGCAUCAGCCAAUGAAUAGUGAGGUAAUGGCUCACUAAGGCGAAGACGCGUAGCCAGACUGAGAGGUUGAUUGGCCACAGGGGAACUGAAACACGGAUCCCACCGAAAGGGCAGCAGUGAGGAAUUGUCGACAAUGGGGGAAACCCUGAUCGCUGUAAUACUACGUGAAGGAUGAAGGUCUACGGAUUGUAAACUUCUAUGUGUAUGUUGGGAUACAUACACUGAAAAAGUCACGACUAACUAUGUGCCAGCAGUCGCGGUAAGACAUAGGUGGCGAACGUUAUCCGGAAUUAUUGGGCGUAAAGGAUGCGUAGAUGGUAGAAUAAGUUACUGGUCGAUGCCAAACUCAAUUUGACGGAAGCUGGUAAUACUAUUCUGCUAGAGGACAGGAGAGGUUGAUGGAAUUCUGUGUGGAGCGGUGAAAUGCGUUGAUCUACAGAGGAACACCAAAAAAGGCGAAGGCAUUCAACUAUUCUGUUCCUGACAUUGAGGCAUGAAAGCGUGGGGAGCAAACCGGAUUAGAUACCCCGGGUAGUCCACGCCCUAAACGAUGAGCAUUAGAUAUUAGGCAUAUGCUUAGUGUCGCAGCUAACGCUUUAAAUGCUCCGCCUGAGUACUACGGCCGCAAGGCUAAAACUCAAAGGAAUUGACGGGGACCCGCNCAAGCGGUGGAGCAUGUGGUUUAAUUCGAUACGACGCGCAGAACCUUACCAAGGCUUGACAUGGAGGGCAAAGUUGAAGAAACUCAACGGAGGUUAUCCCGACACAGGUGGUGCAUGGUCGUCGUCAGUUCGUGCUGUGAAGUUUAUGCUUAAGUGCCAUAACGAACGCAACCCUCAUAUUUAGUUGCUACCAUUCAGUUGAGAACUUUAAAUAGACUGCCAAGGAAACUUGGAGGAAGGAGAGGAUGACGUCUGAUCCUCAUGCCCCUUAUGCCUUGGGCUACACACGUGCUAUAAUGGUUAGGACAAAGGGUCGCCAACCCGCAAGGGGGAGCCAAUCCCAAAAAANUAACCCAAGUUCGGAUUGGAGUCUGCAACUCGACUCCAUGAAGUCAGAAUCGCUAGUAAUCGUGAAUCAGCAAUGUCACGGUGAAUAUGUUCUCGGGUCUUGUACACACCGCCCGUCAAGUCAUGAAAGUNGGGAAUGCCUGAAACC
This 1375-nucleotide ribosomal RNA is filed under the name uncultured bacterium. RNAcentral's name for it is "16S ribosomal RNA". It matches the Rfam family "Bacterial small subunit ribosomal RNA". The record is from RNAcentral.